RNAcentral lists this ribosomal RNA (1534 nucleotides) under uncultured bacterium. Its description in RNAcentral is "bacterial SSU rRNA". It matches the Rfam family "Bacterial small subunit ribosomal RNA". The record is from RNAcentral.
GAGUUUGAUCCUGGCUCAGGACGAACGCUGGCGGCGUGCCUAACACAUGCAAGUCGAACGGAGAAUCGCAACUGUAACGGACAAAGCUUGCUUUGGAAAUUACGCCCGUGAUUCUUAGUGGCGGACGGGUGAGUAACGCGUGAGCAACCUGCCUUUGAGAGGGGAAUAACAACCGGAAGCGGUUGCUAAUACCGCAUAAUGUCAAAGAGCCGCAUGACUAAUUGACCAAAGAUUUAUCGCUCAAAGAUGGGCUCGCGUCUGAUUAGAUAGUUGGUGGGGUAACGGCCUACCAAGUCGACGAUCAGUAGCCGGACUGAGAGGUUGAACGGCCACAUUGGGACUGAGAUACGGCCCAGACUCCUACGGGAGGCAGCAGUGGGGAAUAUUGCACAAUGGGCGCAAGCCUGAUGCAGCAACGCCGCGUGCGGGAAGACGGUCUUCGGAUUGUAAACCGCUUUUCUUCGGGAAGAAACAAAUGACGGUACCGAAGGAAUAAGCAUCGGCUAACUACGUGCCAGCAGCCGCGGUAAUACGUAGGAUGCAAGCGUUGUCCGGAAUUACUGGGUGUAAAGGGAGCGCAGGCGGGACUGCAAGUUGGAUGUGAAAUGUCGAGGCUUAACCUCGGAACUGCAUCCAAAACUGUAGUUCUUGAGUGGAGUAGAGGCAAGCGGAAUUCCGAGUGUAGCGGUGAAAUGCGUAGAUAUUCGGAGGAACACCAGUGGCGAAGGCGGCUUGCUGGGCUCUAACUGACGCUGAGGCUCGAAAGUGUGGGGAGCAAACAGGAUUAGAUACCCUGGUAGUCCACACUGUAAACGAUGAUUACUAGGUGUGGGGAGUCUGACCCUUUCCGUGCCGCAGUUAACGCAAUAAGUAAUCCACCUGGGGAGUACGAUCGCAAGAUUGAAACUCAAAGGAAUUGACGGGGGCCCGCACAAGCAGUGGAUUAUGUGGUUUAAUUCGAAGCAACGCGAAGAACCUUACCAGGGCUUGACAUCCAACUAACGAGGCAGAGAUGCGUUAGGUGCCCUUCGGGGAAAGUUGAGACAGGUGGUGCAUGGUUGUCGUCAGCUCGUGUCGUGAGAUGUUGGGUUAAGUCCCGCAACGAGCGCAACCCUUAUUGUUAGUUGCUACGCGAGAGCACUCUAGCGAGACUGCCGUUGACAAAACGGAGGAAGGUGGGGACGACGUCAAAUCAUCAUGCCCCUUAUGUCCUGGGCUACACACGUAAUACAAUGGCGCACACAGAGGGAAGCAAAACCGCGAGGUGGAGCAAGUCCCUAAAAGGCGUCUCAGUUCGGAUUGCAGUCUGCAACUCGACUGCAUGAAGUCGGAAUUGCUAGUAAUCGCGGAUCAGCAUGCCGCGGUGAAUACGUUCCCGGGCCUUGUACACACCGCCCGUCACACCAUGAGAGCCGGGAACACCCGAAGUCCGUAGUCUAACCGCUAGGAGGGCGCGGCCGAAGGUGGGUUUGGUAAUUGGGGUGAAGUCGUAACAAGGUAGCCGUUCGAGAACGAGCGGCUGGAUCACCUCCUU